AUAUAUAGGAGUGUUAGCUGUGAAGAUUCUCCACCCUAAGAAGAAAACUUUGUCUUCACAGCUACAGGACAAAAUAUUAAUCUUAAGUGGCAGCUUCUUCUGAGGAAGCCAAUAAAGAUUAGCAACAAAUGUCAUCAUAUUGACAUUAAUGGUUGUGCUAUGAAAAGCAAUGAUGAAUAUAUAAUACACUCCUGGAAAAUAAAUAUGAAGCAGAUUCACUGAUACGAAAUACUCAUGAUUUUGAUGUUAAAAUAAAGGACCCUAAAUGUUUAA
Candoia aspera is the source of this 273-nucleotide long non-coding RNA. RefSeq lists it as uncharacterized. The record is from RefSeq and is a predicted model, not a curated record. Lineage: Eukaryota; Metazoa; Chordata; Lepidosauria; Squamata; Candoiidae. The transcript has 2 exons.